Long non-coding RNA from Canis lupus familiaris (dog), 573 nucleotides. RefSeq lists it as uncharacterized. NCBI's taxonomy places the organism in Eukaryota, Metazoa, Chordata, Mammalia, Carnivora, Canidae. The transcript has 3 exons. The record is from RefSeq and is a predicted model, not a curated record.
GGUAUAUCGCGGCCACUUAGGCCACGGACUCAGUGAAGGCUCCUGAAGGUUCUGGCCAAAAAUAACUCGAUUUUCAGAAACAAAGUUUAAGAAAACCAUUGCUUUGGAAAUGGUGCUACCUCAGAAAAUGGGAUGCAUUCAGCAAAAGCUUUUUUCCUAUUUUGGAGGAACAGCAGAGUAGUUUCUGCUGUGUUCUGAAAACUGUAGAAGUGAUGAACUUCCUUGGCCAUGGGGUCUCCUCUUCUCCCUCAGCAUCUCCGUGGACAAGUGAGAAGCACUGUUGGCACCAUGAAAAUAAAGUUUCUAGAAUGGUCAAGCUCUAAUCCCUCCUGAAGAUGGUCUUUCCUUUACUAAACCCCUGGAAGCCUCUGGAGCUGUGGACCACUGUCUUGCCUGCUCUUAUAUGAGUUUCUAUAGAUUCAUAUGUUUCUUAUCUCUGGAAGCAUACUGAAGAUCCCUGAAUGAGGACUCAUUUUUAAAAUCCGUAUUUCCCACUUGCACACAGAAGACAUGUAACAAAACUUCACUACCAUGCAGGAGAACACUAAGUUUAAUGCCUUUUUAAAAAAAUGU